Small nucleolar RNA from Poecilia formosa (Amazon molly), 282 nucleotides. Lineage: Eukaryota; Metazoa; Chordata; Actinopteri; Cyprinodontiformes; Poeciliidae. The record is from Ensembl.
GGUCAGUGAUGAGCUGUAAAAGGUCUGAUUCCCACAAUCCUCUGCUGCCUCCGGCUCCCAGCAGCUCGCUCUCUGCUCCCAUCAUGCUCUAGCCAUGCAGCCAUGGGCCCAGCAGCUGCUGACACACAGGAUGUGACAUCACACAGGGUGUGACAUCACUGAGAGGCUGAGCUCAGAACCUGCAGCCUCCCUGUGAUGUUGAUCCAACAUGACCAAUCAGGAAGGAGCAUCAGGAGGAAGAGGAGAAAGAGGGAGCUGAUCUCAAGUUUUCAAGCUGAGACC